Myotis lucifugus (little brown bat) is the source of this 248-nucleotide long non-coding RNA. RefSeq lists it as uncharacterized. Lineage: Eukaryota; Metazoa; Chordata; Mammalia; Chiroptera; Vespertilionidae. The record is from RefSeq and is a predicted model, not a curated record. The transcript is spliced from 3 exons.
CGCAGAGGGACCUGCUCAUCGGGCGCCUCCGCCAGCACCAGCUGCUGUGCGAGGGGAUCAUCCGGGACCAGCGGCAGCUCAUUCAGGACGCCGGCCUCCCUGUGCCCAGGACUCUGGAUGAGCGCUACGGCCUGUACGCGCGGGAGCUGGGCGGGGGCUCGCUGGACCGCCUGCUGCUGCUGCACUCGGCCACGGCCACGGCCAGCUCCCUGCCGGAUGGCUGUCCUGACCAGGACGACAGUAAGGGC